AACGCGAAGAACCUUACCAGGUCUUGACAUCCUUUUGCCCGCCUUAGAGAUAAGGUUUUCCCUUCGGGGACAAAAGUGACAGGUGGUGCAUGGUUGUCGUCAGCUCGUGUCGUGAGAUGUUGGGUUAAGUCCCGCAACGAGCGCAACCCUUGAUCUUAGUUGCCAGCAUUAAGUUGGGCACUCUAAGGUGACUGCCGGUGACAAACCGGAGGAAGGUGGGGAUGACGUCAAAUCAUCAUGCCCCUUAUGACCUGGGCUACACACGUGCUACAAUGGAUGGAACAAAGGGCAGCAAGACCGCGAGGUUUAGCAAAUCCCAUAAAACCAUUCUACAGUUCGGAUUGUAGGCUGCAACUCGCCUACAUGAAGCCGGAAUCGCUAGUAAUCGCGGAUCAGCAUGCCGCGGUGAAUACGUUCCCGGGCCUUGUACACACCGUGUCGA
Molecule: ribosomal RNA, 442 nt
Filed under: uncultured bacterium
Lineage: Bacteria
Description: bacterial SSU rRNA
Rfam family: Bacterial small subunit ribosomal RNA
Source: RNAcentral